RNAcentral lists this ribosomal RNA (253 nucleotides) under uncultured bacterium. RNAcentral's name for it is "partial 16S ribosomal RNA". It matches the Rfam family "Bacterial small subunit ribosomal RNA", at positions 524 to 776 of the family's 1533-position model. The record is from RNAcentral.
GACGAACCGUGCGAACGUUGUUCGGAAUCACUGGGCUUGAAGGGCGCGUAGGCUGCCGGCGAGGUCCGGGGUGAAAGCCCCCCGCUCAACGGGGGAAGGGCCCCGGAUACCGGCCGGCUCGAGGGGGGUAGGGGCGUGCGGAACUUCCGGUGGAGCGGUGAAAUGCGUAGAGAUCGGAAGGAACGCCGGUGGCGAAAGCGGCGCGCUGGACCCCUCCUGACGCUGAGGCGCGAAAGCCAGGGGAGCGAACGGG